Molecule: ribosomal RNA, 1023 nt
Filed under: Staphylococcus aureus
Lineage: Bacteria; Bacillati; Bacillota; Bacilli; Caryophanales; Staphylococcaceae
Description: bacterial SSU rRNA
Rfam family: Bacterial small subunit ribosomal RNA
Source: RNAcentral
AGAGUUUGAUCCUGGCUCAGGAUGAACGCUGGCGGCGUGCCUAAUACAUGCAAGUCGAGCGAACGGAUGAGAAUCUUGCUUCUCUGAUGUUAGCGGCGGACGGGUGAGUAACACGUGGAUAACCUACCUAUAAGACUGGGAUAACUUCGGGAAACCGGAGCUAAUACCGGAUAAUAUUUUGAACCGCAUGGUUCAAAAGUGAAAGACGGUCUUGCUGUCACUUAUAGAUGGAUCCGCGCUGCAUUAGCUAGUUGGUAAGGUAACGGCUUACCAAGGCAACGAUGCAUAGCCGACCUGAGAGGGUGAUCGGCCACACUGGAACUGAGACACGGUCCAGACUCCUACGGGAGGCAGCAGUAGGGAAUCUUCCGCAAUGGGCGAAAGCCUGACGGAGCAACGCCGCGUGAGUGAUGAAGGUCUUCGGAUCGUAAAACUCUGUUAUUAGGGAAGAACAUAUGUGUAAGUAACUGUGCACAUCUUGACGGUACCUAAUCAGAAAGCCACGGCUAACUACGUGCCAGCAGCCGCGGUAAUACGUAGGUGGCAAGCGUUAUCCGGAAUUAUUGGGCGUAAAGCGCGCGUAGGCGGUUUUUUAAGUCUGAUGUGAAAGCCCACGGCUCAACCGUGGAGGGUCAUUGGAAACUGGAAAACUUGAGUGCAGAAGAGGAAAGUGGAAUUCCAUGUGUAGCGGUGAAAUGCGCAGAGAUAUGGAGGAACACCAGUGGCGAAGGCGACUUUCUGGUCUGUAACUGACGCUGAUGUGCGAAAGCGUGGGGAUCAAACAGGAUUAGAUACCCUGGUAGUCCACGCCGUAAACGAUGAGUGCUAAGUGUUAGGGGGUUUCCGCCCCUUAGUGCUGCAGCUAACGCAUUAAGCACUCCGCCUGGGGAGUACGACCGCAAGGUUGAAACUCAAAGGAAUUGACGGGGACCCGCACAAGCGGUGGAGCAUGUGGUUUAAUUCGAAGCAACGCGAAGAACCUUACCAAAUCUUGACAUCCUUUGACAACUCUAGAGAUAGAGC